CGAGCGAGUCUGCCUUGAAGAUCGGAGUGCUUGCACUCUGUGAAACAAGAUACAGGCUAGCGGCGGACGGGUGAGUAACACGUGGGUAACCUGCCCAAGAGAUCGGGAUAACACCUGGAAACAGAUGCUAAUACCGGAUAACAACAGAUGAUGCCUAUCAACUGUUUAAAAGAUGGUUCUGCUAUCACUCUUGGAUGGACCUGCGGUGCAUUAGCUAGUUGGUAGGGUAACGGCCUACCAAGGCGAUGAUGCAUAGCCGAGUUGAGAGACUGAUCGGCCACAUUGGGACUGAGACACGGCCCAAACUCCUACGGGAGGCAGCAGUAGGGAAUCUUCCACAAUGGACGCAAGUCUGAUGGAGCAACGCCGCGUGAGUGAAGAAGGGUUUCGGCUCGUAAAGCUCUGUUGUUGGUGAAGAAGGACAGGGGUAGUAACUGACCUUUGUUUGACGGUAAUCAAUUAGAAAGUCACGGCUAACUACGUGCCAGCAGCUGCGGUAAUACGUAGGUGGCAAGCGUUGUCCGGAUUUAUUGGGCGUAAAGCGAGUGCAGGCGGCUCGAUAAGUCUGAUGUGAAAGCCUUCGGCUCAACCGGAGAAUUGCAUCAGAAACUGUCGAGCUUGAGUACAGAAGAGGAGAGUGGAACUCCAUGUGUAGCGGUGAAAUGCGUAGAUAUAUGGAAGAACACCGGUGGCGAAGGCGGCUCUCUGGUCUGUUACUGACGCUGAGGCUCGAAAGCAUGGGUAGCGAACA
This 751-nucleotide ribosomal RNA is filed under the name uncultured bacterium. Its description in RNAcentral is "bacterial SSU rRNA". It matches the Rfam family "Bacterial small subunit ribosomal RNA", at positions 63 to 774 of the family's 1533-position model. The record is from RNAcentral.